UGGUGACACACAGAAAUCUAAGUGACUAAACCUGCAAAGGGAAAAAAAAAGGAGGAAAAGCAGCCCAGGAAAACGAGUUCAGCUAACAAGAUCAGACGAGGAACUUAAAUACAGUAGACAGGAAGCAGAGAGAAGAACAGGAAUGAGAGCUAAAGCUUGCUGGCUGAUUGGAUACUGAUCCUUCCAAAUCAACCAGCUUAGAGUUCAGUUGAGUUAUUGCCCAAGAGAGGGAUUUAUUUCCUGGCUUCACUCUGGCUUUGCAAAGUGAAUGGAUUCUUAACUUACCAAGAGAAAGAGGAGGGGAGGUGAAUCAUGUGGCUUAACAGAGAAGCCAGAAGAUACUAAAGAAAUAUAGAAGGACUUCAAAGUGUACAGAAGUGGAGAAAAGAAUCUGGAAUUGAACUAGAAAAAAAUAACAACAAAAUUCAUCUGGAACAGCAAAAAGUCAAGAAUAUCAAGUGAAUCAAUAGGAAAAGAUGUGGAAGAAGAUGGCAAAUGAAAAACAGAGCUCAAAUCAUAUUUCAAAGGUCAAGAAUCAUUCUUUAACAGAAUCAACUGAAAACAUGAAGUCAGCAAAGAUGAUGAAGGGGAUAUAAACUUCUAGAAAAGGCUACAAGGUCUUUCUGAGAAACUACAUAAUUGCUGCUUAGCUUCCAUUUCUUCAUCAAAAUUUCCUCUGGCUAAUUAGAAGCUUUGAUGACCCUGGAAUGUUACCUAAAGAGAGGCCUCUUUGCAUAAAAGUGUAAACUCUGGGCCUCAAAAUUAUUUAAAAGGUAAAAAAUUCUAAUUAUCUUCUUGGAAUGCUAGAAUUGUUGCUAUUUCCCAAUGGAAAAGUAGUUGAAAUUUUCAAUAGAAAAAACAAAAUCAAUUCAACCAAGUGACAAAUAAUAUUUUAAAAGAUAAAGGCUAAUAAAGCAUCAAAAUAUUUUAUAUAAAUUAAUGGU
Molecule: long non-coding RNA, 944 nt
Filed under: Monodelphis domestica (gray short-tailed opossum)
Lineage: Eukaryota; Metazoa; Chordata; Mammalia; Didelphimorphia; Didelphidae
Description: lncRNA (ENSMODG00000050506.1)
Source: RNAcentral